CGGAGUCGGAAAACCGAGCAGGGCUUCCCGGGACCGGGGCCGUCCGAUUCCGCGAUUUCUGUCGCGUCCGACGCAUUUGUCUCUCGUCCGAAGGACGCUGCAGCCGGUCGGGCAGUGCAAGCGUGGCGGCCUGAAGGCGGGGAGAUGGCAGGUGGCCGGUGGCUCGCUUCGGCGCGUCGCCGGUUGUUAGCCGUCCCCGCAGUGGCUCGCCGCUCGACCGAGGUGUCACGAGGCCCUUUAGGGCUUCCCCGUCUCCGCCUUCUUUGGCUGCGGGACAGACGGUCGCAGGCGUAGUCCGCCGUGCCGCCGCACCCCCUCAGGGUGGGCGAGUGGGCGGGCGCCACCGUUGGCGACCGCGGACCCGUUGGAGGUCGGAGGCUGGCAGCGAGUAGGUCGGUCACCCACCCGACCCGUCUUGAAACACGGACCAAGGAGUCUAACAUGUGCGCGAGUCAAUGGGUCUUGAAUAGGCCCAGGGGCGCAAUGAAAGCAAAGGUCGUGCAGACGCCGGCCGAGUUGGGAUCCCUCUCCUCGGAGGGGGCGCACCAACGACCCGUCCUAUCCGGCUCGCCGGUUGGGCGGAGUGUGAGCGUACACGUUGGGACCCGAAAGAUGGUGAACUAUGCCCGGACAGGACGAGGCCAGAG
RNAcentral lists this ribosomal RNA (647 nucleotides) under Odo bruchi. Its description in RNAcentral is "eukaryotic LSU rRNA". The stretch from base 427 to 647 matches the Rfam family "Eukaryotic large subunit ribosomal RNA", at positions 665 to 857 of the family's 3401-position model. The record is from RNAcentral. Lineage: Eukaryota; Metazoa; Arthropoda; Arachnida; Araneae; Zoridae.